This is a long non-coding RNA of Sitophilus oryzae (rice weevil), 496 nucleotides long. RefSeq lists it as uncharacterized. The transcript has 3 exons. The record is from RefSeq and is a predicted model, not a curated record. Lineage: Eukaryota; Metazoa; Arthropoda; Insecta; Coleoptera; Curculionidae.
CUUCUGCGCAUGUUGACGCUCAUUCUCUAUCCCUUCUAUUUCUCUGGUUUUAAUCAACAGAAAGUAACCAGUGUCGUAGUUUCUUUCAUCGACUGCGCACACUUUCGGCUGAUUCGAGUCAGUAGCGUACGGAUUAAUUUAUUUUGUUUACUUCUUGAGUUAUAUUUUAUAGUUGUUGUUUUAUUUUUGUUUAUUGUGUUAUAUAUUUGGUUUUUCUAGUUUAUUUUCGUUUCUUGUGUUAUAUAAUUUAUUUUUGUUUUUCUGAACAUUUUUAAAUCGUUAAUUUUUACGUGUUUUUAAAAUGCCUGGGCGAAGUUGUGCAGCAAAAAACUGCCCGAGUAGAGGACUAAACUGCAAUAAAAGUUACUUUCUGUUUCCUAGAGAUCCUAUUAGGUAUGUAUAUACAUAUGUGAUUAAUUAUUUUAACAUAUUUUAGUUAAAAAAACAGUAGUAUACAUAUUAGGACAUUCAGCUAAAUAGAAAGAUCUAAUUAAAA